Molecule: long non-coding RNA, 134 nt
Organism: Telopea speciosissima
Lineage: Eukaryota; Viridiplantae; Streptophyta; Magnoliopsida; Proteales; Proteaceae
Exons: 4
Source: RefSeq, a predicted model, not a curated record
UCAUCAUGUUUAUCUGAGAGAACUUCAGAAAUCUUUGAGCAGCUUCCGAACCUGCUCAAGCGUCACAAACAGAACCACAGUAAAGGGGCCUUGCCUUGAUAUCAUGGGAAUAAAACCCCUAUACAAAGCCACUG